RNAcentral lists this long non-coding RNA (392 nucleotides) under Vigna radiata. RNAcentral describes it as "long non-coding RNA (VRAD_LNC012943)". Lineage: Eukaryota; Viridiplantae; Streptophyta; Magnoliopsida; Fabales; Fabaceae. The record is from RNAcentral.
UGCUCCAAAACCACUACUCUACGCUUGCUGCUCAGGCCAUGCCACAGCUGUAUGAAACUCAUCCAUGGUCCACCUGUGUGCUGGUGGAUGGUCAUAUAAUCCAAUAAUCAUUUCAACUGUCGUCACCUGCCCUCUGUGAAGCGCCUCCAUCCGAGCCUCCAUCAUGGACAUAUACAUGUCCCUCAUCUGGAAGGGCUCCGCGUGCUGACCUGGUUCCUCAUCGGGCACCUGCUCCUGCUGAGCAGCGACUCUCCUAUGCCACCUCCGGGGUGCUGCCCCCGCUGCACCUGCUGCUCCAGCAACAACACAAAACUGGUGGAAGUAUGCCGCAUCAAUGGCAUUCCUCAGUCUCUCAAAUGGGGGAACUGCAGUGUUCACCCCAGCCUGCUGGC